UAAGCAGUAGCGGGUGUCAGCGAGGCUGUGAGACUUCCUUAACGUCGCUGUGAAGCCAUCACAGCAAACAUGGCCAUGAACAGAGGGGCUUUCAUCACGUCUGUGGUGGCCACCACAACACGCAAUAUUGCUUGAACAACAGCCAUCAAAGCCACAGACGCCCACUAAUACAGCCGGGUCAUUCCUACAGUUGCUAGAUUCUUUACUGGGCAGCUGUCAAAUUCGGACCAGUUUACCCUGUACAGGAGCAGAUGCUGGACCAAGUCAGGUCAGAGAGGAAGUUCCCCACAUCAAUCUCAUCUUCCGUCCCAGCCUCUUAUUACCUGCCUGCUGUUUGCUUAUUUAUGUCCUCUGUUUAGCCAAAACACACAUAGGGGGUACACCAAUUAAAUCAGGGUGGGAUCCAAGCUGUGGAUGGUUGCUAGUGAGUUUAGCAGAGAUGCUACGCGGUUUGACCCAGAAAGCGUCAAUGAGGUGACGUAGUAGACAGAUGGCAGGCUCCGAAAUGGUGGGAACGCAGUCUCUGCCAGACUGUACCUGACAGGAGCGUCAUAAUGCGUGAUAGGUGCCAAAGCGCACCCUCAGCAAGACAAAAGCUGGCUUUCUUCUCUAUUUCGCCGCUUUCCACCCCCUCUCCGAACCCCAGUACGUCCCUGGACAGGUUUCAGCGUUUAAAUUUGAAAAUGAUUUGUCCUGCCCUCUUAAUAAUAGAUGAGAGCACAUAGUUGGGGUCCCUUCAAUAAACUCCCUCCUCGCUUUAAUUAGUGAACAAAAAGCCCAGCCUGCUGAGGACUCGGGCUCGGGCGCUGUGUUGGUAAUUAAAACUGAAACCACCAAAAGGAGAGGAGGGGAAGGCUCUAUUUUUAUCGCACAGGCUGUUUGGUGCUGAGUGCCCAUGGAAGGUUUUGCAAUAAAGAGUGAUAAUGAAGGUGUGAGACCUCUGGGGGCCAGCCGGGCGCUCGCUACAAUGGUUGCUCUCACACCAGACUGAAAUACAGGGAGCAAUUAGUGAAGGCAGCAUACAGACUGGUCACUGGAGAUUAGUUAACACCUCAGGAGCUGCGCUUCAGGACAGGCACAUGCUUGUUUGCUUCCACACCAUUUGCUCUUAAAGAAUAAACUAACGCCGUGAUGAAGA
Long non-coding RNA from Carassius carassius (crucian carp), 1138 nucleotides. RefSeq lists it as uncharacterized. The transcript is spliced from 2 exons. The record is from RefSeq and is a predicted model, not a curated record. Lineage: Eukaryota; Metazoa; Chordata; Actinopteri; Cypriniformes; Cyprinidae.